Molecule: long non-coding RNA, 3205 nt
Filed under: Homo sapiens (human)
Lineage: Eukaryota; Metazoa; Chordata; Mammalia; Primates; Hominidae
Description: HSALNT0268566
Source: RNAcentral
AAAGACGACUUUCUGUGUGAUUCCUCUGAUAUGAAGUUCAAGAACAGGUAAGAGAGUCUUGCUCUGUUGUCCAGGCUGGAGUGCAGUGGUGUGAUCAUGACUCACUGCAGCCUCAACCUCCCAAGCUCAAGUGAUCCUCCCGCCUCAGCCUCCUGAUUAUCUGGGAUUACAUGCACAUGCCACCAUGCCCGGAGUCUCACUCUGUCACCAGGCUGGAGUGCAGUGGCAAGAUCUCGGCUCACUGCAAACUCCACCUCCCAGGUUCUAAGUGAUUCUCCUGCCUCAGCCUCCUGAGUAGCUGGGACUACAGGUGAGUGCCACCAUGCCCAGCUAAUUUUUGUAUUUUUAGUAGAGACAGGGUUUCACCGUAUUGGCCAGGAUGGUCUUGAUCUCUUGACCUUAUGAUCCACCCGCCUUGUCCUCCCAAAGUGCUGGGAUUACAGGCGUGAGCCACCAUGCCUGGCCAAUUUUUAUAUCUUUAGUAUAGAUGGGGUUUCACCAUGUUGGCCAGGCUGCGUCUUGAACUCCUGACGUCAAAUAAUCUGCCCACCUCGGCCUCCCAGAGUGUUGGGUUACAGGCAUGAGCCACUGUGCGCAGCAAUUUUUAUUUUUAUUUAUUUAUUUAUUUUGAGACGGAGUUUUGUUCUUGCCCAGGCUGGAGUGCAAUGGCACGGUCUUGGCUCACUGCAACCUCCGCCUCCUGGGUUCAAGUGAUUCUCCUGUCUUAGCCUCCCAAGUAGCUGGGAUUACAGGCGCCUGCCACCACGCCUGGCUAAUUUUUUAUACUUUUAGUAGAGACGGGGUUUCACCAUGUUGGCCAGGCUGACCUCGAACUCCUGACCUCAGGCAGUCCGCCCGCCUCAGCUUCCCAAAGCUCAGGGGUUGGAGGCAUGAGCCACUGCCCCCAGCCCUGGUAAUUUUUAAAAUUUUAUUUUUUGUAGAUAUUGGAGUAGGGAGGAGUCUCUCUAUGUUGCUCUGGUUGGUCUUAAACUCUUGGGCUCAAACAACCCUCCUGCCUUACUCUCCCACAGUGUUGGUAUUACAAGCAUGAGCUGCCGCACCUGGCCUUGAAAUUCUUAAUGAUUUGUGAACGAGGGCCCUGCAUCUUGAUGUGGCCAGUCCUGGCUGUACUGUGGCAUCCGGCAUGGUCACCUAGUACUUUCACCUGAGUUGUCUCCUGAGUGCUCAGGAACACUCUUUGAGGGCAGUUGUCCUCAUCGUUAACCUCACUGACCUCAGUUUCCUUACCUGGGAAACGGGAGGAAGUGCAUUGUGCCAGGCCACAGAGAAACAAUGGGUGAACCUUGGUCUUCUGGCCCUCAGAUUCUAUCAGUGGGAAACUUGGGCAAGUAAGGGCUAGGCAUGCCUACGUGUGUGCCCCUGGAGCACAGAGGAGGUUCUCAGUAGCUACAACUUGCUCUUUGAUUCCCUGGCUGGCCUCUCUUUUUGCCCUAAAUUUUUUUUAUUAAAAAAAUUUUUUAAGACACAAGGAGACAGGGCAUUAGAGGAAAGAGCUAAUACAUCCAACCCAGGUGAUGGGUUGAUGGGUGCAGCAAACCACCAUGGCACAUGUUUACCUAUGUAACAAACCUGCACAUCCUGCUCAUGUACCCCGGAACUUAAUAAAUAAAUAAAUAAAUAAAUAAAGAGACUGAGUCUUGCUAUGUUGCCCAGGCUGGAGUACAGUGGCACAAUCAUAGCUCUUUGCAGCCUCAAACCCCUGGGCUCAAGUGAUCCUCCUGCUUGAUCCCAAAGUGCUGGGAUUAUAGGCGUGAACCACCGUGGCUGGCUGUCUUUUUGCCUUUUUACUAAGAAAUUUUGAUUUAAAUUGAUAAUAGUAAUACAGGUAUCCAUUCUCUUAACACAUGAUAACAUUUCCAAUCAAGCUGAAGUCAGUUCUGGACCAUCUGGCCAGGGCUGGCUCCUUUUCACUCUGUCAGCGUGGUUUUAUAAUUUUGGGGUUUGAACUUCCAGAUCUUUGUGUAUGCAUUUCUUUCAUCUCUGUGUGAAUGUGGCUUUUCCUUCCUUCCUUUCUUUCUGUUAUAUCUUUUAAAAUGUGAACUUUUACAGAAGUCUAAGCAGGGUACAGAAGAUACAUUUUUACCACCUGAACACACCAGUGUGAGCAGCACUUGGAUAAAAAAGCAGAACUUUUUUUUUUUUUUUGAGACAGGGUCUCACUCUGUCACUGUAGACUGGAGUGCAGUGGCGAGAUCUCGGCUCACCACAACCUCUGUCUCGCAGGCUCAAGCGAUUCUCCUGCCUCAGCCCCCUGAGUAGCUGGGAUUACAGGUGUGCACCACUACUGCCCGGCUAAUUUUUGUAUUUUUAGUAGAGACAGGGUUUCACCAUGUUGGCCAGGCUGGUCUUGAACUCCUAACUUCAGAUGAUCCACCUGCCUUGGCCUCCCAAAGUGCUGGUAUUACAGGUGUGAACUACCACACCUGGCCUGAAACAGAACAAACAUUUUUAAUCACUGAAAAAUGUUUCUGUCUAGGACAACUGCUCUCCUGACUUCUAACAGAUUACAUUGUUUUGCCUGUUCUACAACUUCAUAUCAAUGGAAUCAUUCAGAGUAUUUGCUUUUGUGUCUGGCUUCUUUUGCUCAGUUAAACUUUUAAAGUUCCUCUAUGCAGUACUGUACAGCUUCAUUCUCACUACUGUGUUGUGUUCCACUGUCCACUGUGUGACUAUACCAUAGUCCAGUCUACUGUUGGUAGACAGUUGGGUUAUUUCAAGGUUUUGGUUGUUGUGAAUAAAGCUGCCAUGGACAUUCUUCUUUGUGUCUUUUUUCUUUUUCUUUUUUUUAUUUUAUUUUACGAGUUGGGAUCCUGCUUUGUUGCCAAGGCUGGAGUGCAUUGGUGCUAUCACAGCUCACUGCAGCCUUGAACUCCUGGGCUCAAGUGAUCCUCUCAUCUCAGCCUCCCGAGUAGCUGGGAUCAUGGCUAUGAGCCACUGCACCCAGCUCUUGUUUGUGUCAUUUGGUGGAUGCCAGCUCUUGUUUCUAUCAAGUUUAUACCCGAGGCAUCAUCACUGGACACAUCAUUCACGUGUGUUGAGUUUCUGCAUAUUUCCAAACAGUUUCCAAAGCAUUUCGCUACUGCUGUCCUCCAUAUUUCUGGCCCAUCUCGCUCCUUUUUUUUUUUUUUUUUUUUUUUUCAGAUGGAGUCUUACUCUGUUGCUCAGGCUGGAGUGAGGUGGCACC